GACGAACGCUGGCGGCGUGCUUAACACAUGCAAGUCGAACGCGCCUGUCCUCUGGGUUUCUGGGGGGUGGGUGAGUGGCGCACGGGUGAGUAACACGUGAGUAACCUGCCCCCUUCUUCGGGAUAACGGUCUGAAAGGGCUGCUAAUACCGGGUAUUCACUGGUCUCCGCAUGGGGUCUGGUGGAAAGGUUUUUUUCUGGUGGGGGAUGGGCUCGCGGCCUAUCAGCUUGUUGGUGGGGUGAUGGCCCACCAAGGCUUUGACGGGUAGCCGGCCUGAGAGGGUAACCGGUCACGUUGGGACUGAGAUACGGCCCAGACUCCUACGGGAGGCAGCAGUGGGGAAUAUUGCACAAUGGGCGCAAGCCUGAUGCAGCGACGCCGCGUGAGGGAUGGAGGCCUUCGGGUUGUGAACCUCUUUCGCCCGUGGUCAAGCCGCGACGUGGGUCGUGGUGAGGGUAGUGGGUAAAGAAGCGCCGGCUAACUACGUG
Molecule: ribosomal RNA, 488 nt
Filed under: uncultured bacterium
Lineage: Bacteria
Description: partial 16S ribosomal RNA
Rfam family: Bacterial small subunit ribosomal RNA
Source: RNAcentral